GUGUUCACUUUGGCAGCACAUACACUAAAACUGGAACGAUGAAGAGAAGAUUAGCAUGGCCCCUGUGCAAGGAUGACACCCAAAUUUGUGAAGGGUUCCAUAUUUUU
Small nuclear RNA from Rattus norvegicus (Norway rat), 107 nucleotides. The record is from Ensembl. Lineage: Eukaryota; Metazoa; Chordata; Mammalia; Rodentia; Muridae.